Non-coding RNA from Podarcis lilfordi (Lilford's wall lizard), 77 nucleotides. The record is from the annotation of a GenBank genome assembly. Lineage: Eukaryota; Metazoa; Chordata; Lepidosauria; Squamata; Lacertidae.
GCCAACAGGAUAGCUCAUUUGGUAGAGCAUGAGGCUCUUAAUCUCGAAGGUCAUGGGUUCAAGCCCCAUUUCGGACA